Long non-coding RNA from Entelurus aequoreus (snake pipefish), 1317 nucleotides. RefSeq lists it as uncharacterized. The record is from RefSeq and is a predicted model, not a curated record. Lineage: Eukaryota; Metazoa; Chordata; Actinopteri; Syngnathiformes; Syngnathidae. The transcript has 3 exons.
ACAUACAUACAUACAUACAUAUGCAUACACGUGGCGGGACAAAUCAAAUAAUUCACUAGGACGCCGUCGUCAGAUGAGCAAUAUGACCCUGCAGCAGCGCCAUGGUUACCAAACUCACUAAAGAAAAGAAGAAGAAAAACAAGAUGUGUGUUUCCUUCAGGUCCUUUUGUGCAUUUCCGAUCUGUGACAUAAAGCUUUAUGUUCGAUUUGAACCACUCCACCAACGCAAAUAUUUAAGUCUGUUUAAGGUCUUUUUUUUUUUUUUUUUGAAGUUUACAAGUCACUCUCCGGUGAAAGUGAGGUAAAAUCAUAGCUAAUUGAAUUCAUUCCUUCACAUCUACAAGUGAUGUAUUGAAUUAAUAAUGGUGACAUUUGUGAUGAGUAAUAAACCAUAAUAAUAUAUUACAAUAGCUUGGCCUCUGUCUAUUCACGUGACCUUCAGGAGUUUAAUUUCCAAAAUAAAAGAAGAGGAAGAAGUCACAUCAUGUAACAGAUACGCGGUGCUUGUUUUGAAAUAACCAGUGCCUUGUUUUAUUUUUAGCAAUUUAAAGAAGCAGAAGUAGUCAUGUGUGAUAACUUAGAUUAGGGGUGUCCAUACUUUUUCCAGCGACAGCCGUAGAAAUAAAAAUUGAAGGAUGCGGGAGCCGCUUUGAUACAUUUUGUGGGGCUGUUUGCAACAUUCACACUGAUGCCUAGAGGGCGCCACCUUUCCAAUGUAUUUUACACAGUAUAUUCCGCCCUGCUUAGGCUUCUCCUACGUAAUGACGUAAUUACGUACGUACGUAACACAUGCACGCGCAUUAGCUUUAGGUGUAGUUAGCUAAUAAUUGCAAUUUGGAUAGCUAGCGUUAGCCGUCAUUAAAUGUAUAUUCUAUCAUCUUUUGGACUGCUUUUGUAUGUGUGCACACGCUCCCUGCGUCUACUUGUUGACACCACCAGUGUCCUGCAAAACAGUGCAAAUUGUGAGACUGUGAGUCCACUUGGGUCACGGGAUUAUCAAUUGGAAGGCGUCACAGUUCUGAGCACUUCCCGCAGAGGAAAGGCGAGGAGGUGUCAUGGAGCUUACAGAGGAAGAGUGGACAACGCCGGAAGGCGAGGAGGGGAAGUAGUCGAAGACGUUUUCUUUCGGCCUUUUUCUCUCCUCCCCUUCUGACAUGUGGUCACUUUAAGGAGACACGGCCAUCAUCAUUAACCUGAACACAUUCUUUCUUUUUCGUUGUUUUCUAGCCAAAAGGACCUCUUCAGAAUGGGAAUGAGGCCUUCAGGUGGUCUGCUCCCCCCCCCGCCAGUGGGCUCCCGUCUCAGCGAGAAGGCCCC